This 64-nucleotide transfer RNA is filed under the name unidentified. Its description in RNAcentral is "Epeorus sp. 05 ZXM-2022a tRNA-His". The record is from RNAcentral.
ACCUGGAUAGUUUAAUUAAAAUAUUGAUUUGUGGUGUCAGAGAUGUAAUAAGUUACUCCGGGUA